This is a long non-coding RNA of Sus scrofa (pig), 4693 nucleotides long. RefSeq lists it as uncharacterized. The record is from RefSeq and is a predicted model, not a curated record. NCBI's taxonomy places the organism in Eukaryota, Metazoa, Chordata, Mammalia, Artiodactyla, Suidae.
CAGCUCACGGCAACGCCGGAUCGUUAACCCACUGAGCAAGGGCAGGGAUCGAACCCGCAACCUCAUGGUUCCCAGUCGGAUUCAUUAGCCACUGCGCCACCACGGGAACUCCAACAAUCUUAAUUCUUAAUAAAUGGUUCCUAGCCUAUAAAUUUCUGAAAUUUCCAUUUUGUACUCCUUGGAUAACCAGAGAAAUUUUUAUAUACAGCUUUAUCCCUUAAAAAAAAAAAAAAAAAAGCUGGAUUCUUUUUAUUCUACUUCAUCGUCUCUACCCCCCCUCCAUUUCUAAUUAUUUCUCCUUUAAUACUGACCUUGUAUUUAGUUACUCCCCUUAUCCUUAGGGGCACCGGAUGUUUUAAAAUCUUGCAUCAAGUGCUCACUCAAAAAUGUUAACAGUUUUAGGGAGUUCCCACUGUAGCACAGCCGAAAGUAACUGACUAGUAUCCGUGAGGAAGCAGGUUCGAUCCCUGGCCUUGCUAAGUGGGUUAAGGAUCCAGUGUUGCUAUGAGCUGUGGUGUAGGUAGCAGAUGAGACUCAGAUCUGAGCUGCUGUGGCUCCGAUUCAACCCCAGCCUGAGAACUUACAUAUGCUGUAGGUGUGGCCCUAAACAGCAAAAAGAAAAAAAAAAAAAAAAAGGAAAAAGUUAACUGUUUUAAACUGUCGAGUGUGUCUGGGUUUGGAUGUCAAAAACUCUGUAGAUCUUUUGGUCUUGAGAGCCGAGCACAUCCGCCACCCAGCCAGCCAGCUGUCCCUGCAUAGCAGCCCUUCAGGCGGGCGCUGGUUCUGCAGUUACAAAGCACCUACUGGGUGCUAUGCAGUGAGUGAGACGGCCACAACCCUGGAAGCCCCUUGGGUAAGUGUCAUUCUAGGCACCUCUAUCUUCUGACUCAUCUCUUGGACCACUCGCAAGCCUCUAAGGUCAUCUUCACUGCUAUCUGUUCCAGAGAGGUGUGUGCCCACUUGACAGAAAAUAAAAGCUGUGUUUACCAGCUAACAAGGUUGACAGUGGAUCCUCACCUUACUGGGCCAGGACUCACUGACGCACCCACCUGCCUGGGGCCGCAUAAGAUUAUCCCUAUCAACUGCAGCUCCAAGUACUGGCUUUCAAUCAACCAUCUGAAUAACCCCCGGGGAACUCAGUCCCCUUACCUGCAACUCCCCAUCUAGCUAGGGGGCUAUUACACAAAGGCACAGACCCCUGGGCAGGUGUUUUACAUCUUUUGGGCCUCAGUUUCCCCACCCUAAGUGAUUAGGGACCUAAUGCCAGGUACUGCAUGUAGUAAAGACUGAUAGAAACUACUGUUUUCUCUUUUUUUCUUUUGUCUUUUUGCCGUUUCUUGGGCUGCUCCUGCGGCAUAUGGAGGUUCCCAGGCUAGGGUCUAACCUGAGCUGGAGCCACUGGCCUACGCCAGAGCCACAGCAACGCUGGAUCCAAGCCACGUCUGCGACCUCCACCACAGCUCACAGCAACACCAGAUCCUUAACCCACUGAGCAAGGCCAGGGAUCAAACCCGCAACCUCAUGGUUCCUAGUCGGAUUCGUUAACCACUGUGCCACAAAGGGAACCCUUUUUUUUUUUUUUUUUUUAUGCUGUUUUCUUUCUUUCUUUCUUUUUUUUUUUCUUGUUCUUGUUGUUGUCGUUGUUGUUGCUAUUUCUUGGGCCGCUCCCGCGGCAUAUGGAGGUUCCCAGGCUAGGGGUUGAAUCGGAGCUGUAGCCACCGGCCUACGCCAGAGCCACAGCAACGUGGGAUCCGAGCCGCAUCUGCAAUCUACACCACAGCUCACGGCAACGCCGGAUCGUUAACCCAUUGAGCAAGGGCAGGGACCGAACCCGCAACCUCAUGGUUCCUAGUCGGAUUCGUUAACCACUGCGCCACGACGGGAACUCCUGUUUUCUAAUUAAAGUUUUCUUCUCUCAAAUUCAGUCUCCCUGCUCCCUCCCUUCCAGGUAAGCUCUCUCCCUCACAGUUCAGUUUCCUAGUGAAUGCUGACCGAUUAACCAGGUACACCAGGGCUACCAGUGCACAAAUAAUAGUAACUGGUUACAGUGACAAUUUGCCAGCUUGUUGGGGGAGGUGGGCAGGGUCUGCUCCCCUUAACCUGUUGCAUGCUCCCGUCCCUCUUACUCCUUGUCCCGGAUGCCCCCAGCUCUCCCCACUUUCUGCUCCUCUCCCCACUCCUCACGCCUCAGCUCUGCUGGGCGCCCUGCAACAUCGCCUUUGAAAUGUGUCUCCUAAGGCUGCUGACUGUUGUGCAUCAGAAACUCCAAAGCCAGGCCCAAAGGAGAAUGUACCAAAGCCCCUGACGGGCAUCUUGACCUCACUCAAAGUCUCUGAAUCAGCACCAGCAGCUAGCAUUUCGUGAAAGGCCCCAGCACCCAGGCUUUUAUGCCACCACAGCCCCACUAAGGACAGCAUCCUAGCUUUAGGCAACAGAAAUCACGCUGGGAGAGGCUACGGACCUGCCGAAGGCCACACUCCGGGAAAGGCAGCAGCCGGAAUCCCCGCCCUGUUCCUUCAGACCCUUCACAGCGAAGAGGGCUUCCCCCCAGCCACCAUCUUUGCCUCAGAAGUCACUGCCCUUGCCACUGCCCGCCUGAUGGUCUUUCCCCACAGUCUCCACCUGGGUCUCCUUCCCCAUCUCGCGCUCUGUUCGGACGCCACCGCAGAGCUGCCUUCCUGCCCAGUUCUGAGCUAACACUGGCCACCCACGCUUCCCCGCUACUCCAGACAUCCUGCUGUUGCGUUUUCCUUCACGGCCCUGCCCGCCAUCUCCAAGUACCUGGUUCAUUAACUGACUCACUCCCCCACCUUGUCAAGAAGAGCACUGCGCAGUGGAACGUUCUUCGGUGAAGGAAGUGGCCUCUAUCUGCACUGUCCGGCACCACAGCCGUGAGCGGCAGGUGACCCGUGUGACUAAGCAACUGGUGCUCAAGCAGUGUUUUGACAAGUGCAGCCUGAGAGCCUUGGUGAGCGCUUCGCCAAGGGACAUGUGGGCCUUCAGGUCUGAUAUAUUCAUAUUCCAAAUUGCAGGGCCUCUCACUGGCACUGCAACUGUGUCCUAUCUGUAUGUCAUCAUGGGAGGACAGCUGCUGCCGCCGCCAAGUUCCUGUCUUUCACUUGGGAGCCCAAGCGGGCCUGGGGUGAGAGGACGCUUGGUUUUCACUGGACUUGCUUCCUCUCAGACCAGCCAGGCCAGGGACUUGCAUUCAUGCUCCCACAGCAUUUCUCUGGAGUCUGCUGGCUGGGAUGAGAGUAGGACUUAGGAAAGGACUUCAUAUACUUCAGGUGUCAAUGAGCCCUAAAAAGUCAGUGCUUGUACUUAAGUCUUCCAUGGCCUUUUUUUCUUGGGGGGGGGGAAAGUAUUUUUAGGGCUACACCUGUGGCAUACGGAGGUUCCCAGGCUAGGGAUCUAAUAGGAGCUGUAGCCACCGGCCUGCGCUAGAGCCACAGCAGUGCAGGACCUGAGCCACAUCUGUGACCUACACUGCAGCUCACGGCAACGCCAGAUCCUUAACCCACUGAGCGAGGCCAGGGAUCGAACCCACAUCCUCAUGGAUCCUAGUCGGGUUCGUUAACCACUGGGCCACGACGGGAACUCCCUUCCAUGGCCUUCUAAUGUAACUUUCUUCAAAUAGAGCUGACUUUACAGUACUUAACUGAACUUAACAAUUUAUUCUUAGGUAUCAUUUCAAAAUGAUACCUAAGAAUAAACAAUUCUUAACAAUUUAACAAUUGUUAACUAUUUUUCUUAGGUAUCAUUUCGAAAAAGCAUUGUUAACAAAAUCUUUCCUCCAUCUGUUAAAUUGGUUAUUCCUGGUAUAAGUCAAGGCUGUUUCUGUAUUUUUGUAAUCUGUUGCACCUGCUCGACUCAUAACUAUUUCAGAGCAUUAGCUUUUUUUAAGGUAUUGUUAUGAGCUACCAUUAUUUCUUCUUUUUUGGUAUUUUUCUCAUUUUGUGCUUUAGUGAGAACAAUGCUAUGUGUGUGUUGCAGAAAAAACCUAUUAACAUAGUACCCUGUGUUUUGUCACUGAAUAGCUCACGUUCCAUGGAAAAUAUCUUUUAACAGAAGUUGGAAAAUAUUCACUGCCCAGGUCAAUACAGAAAUGCAACCAACUGGUCACUUUGUUCUAAGAAAAAGUCCCACUUCUCCUGGGACCAAUUUUGCCAUCUUUACACUUUUCUAGAAAGCUUUCCAUCUUAUUGUUUUUUCAUUCAUGUACUCAACAAAUAAUUACUGAGUACCUAUGCUAUGUCAGGAACUGGUGACACAGCGGGAAGACGACCGUUGUUUCCAUUUUAGGAGCACAGUUAUGGGCAGACCCUCUAAACAUGGAAAGUAUCCUCCCACCCAGCUUCCUUCCCACAAGGCGGUCACAUCCUGUUAGUUUCUGUGUUCUCCCAAUGAUAACCAGUUGGCAUGUUCAAACUUGCAUGUGUUCAUGUGUGCGUCUUUAAGGGGAUCUUUAUGUAUGUUAAGAUGUGUAUUUUACAUAUUUUAAGAAAUAUGUCUCUCUCGGAGAUUGUUUCUUCAGUCACAGAGCUGCUUAUUCCUUACGACUGUUGUGUAAAGUACUACAGUGGGAACAACUACACGUACUGCUGUCUAUCUGUGUAGAGUUUCUCUUUCCUGUAUAAGAUUUUAGCUUGGCUUUUAUUUAUUGUCUAUCCAGAAAAUGGGCUCUUGCAUUCUU